This 1438-nucleotide ribosomal RNA is filed under the name uncultured organism. Its description in RNAcentral is "16S ribosomal RNA". It matches the Rfam family "Bacterial small subunit ribosomal RNA". The record is from RNAcentral.
GCUUAACACAUGCAAGUCGAGGGGCAUCAGGAAGAAAGCUUGCUUUCUUUGCUGGCGACCGGCGCACGGGUGAGUAACACGUAUCCAACCUGCCCUUUACUCGGGGAUAGCCUUUCGAAAGAAAGAUUAAUACCCGAUAACAUAAUGAUUCCGCAUGGUUUCAUUAUUAAAGGAUUCCGGUAAAGGAUGGGGAUGCGUUCCAUUAGGUUGUUGGUGAGGUAACGGCCCACCAAGCCUUCGAUGGAUAGGGGUUCUGAGAGGAAGGUCCCCCACAUUGGAACUGAGACACGGUCCAAACUCCUACGGGAGGCAGCAGUGAGGAAUAUUGGUCAAUGGGCGCUAGCCUGAACCAGCCAAGUAGCGUGAAGGAUGAAGGCUCUAUGGGUCGUAAACUUCUUUUAUAUAAGAAUAAAGUGCAGUAUGUAUACUGUUUUGUAUGUAUUAUAUGAAUAAGGAUCGGCUAACUCCGUGCCAGCAGCCGCGGUAAUACGGAGGAUCCGAGCGUUAUCCGGAUUUAUUGGGUUUAAAGGGAGCGUAAGGUGGACUGGGAAGUCAGUUGUGAAAGUUUGGGGCUCAACCGUAAAAUUGCAGUUGAUACUGUCAGUCUUGAGUACAGUAGAGGUGGGCGGAAUUCGUGGUGUAGCGGUGAAAUGCUUAGAUAUCACGAAGAACUCCGAUUGCGAAGGCAGCUCACUGGACUGCAACUGACACUGAUGCUCGAAAGUGUGGGUAUCAAACAGGAUUAGAUACCCUGGUAGUCCACACAGUAAACGAUGAAUACUCGCUGUUUGCGAUAUACAGUAAGCGGCCAAGCGAAAGCAUUAAGUAUUCCACCUGGGGAGUACGCCGGCAACGGUGAAACUCAAAGGAAUUGACGGGGGCCCGCACAAGCGGAGGAACAUGUGGUUUAAUUCGAUGAUACGCGAGGAACCUUACCCGGGCUUAAAUUGCAGUGGAAUGAUGUGGAAACAUGUCAGUGAGCAAUCACCGCUGUGAAGGUGCUGCAUGGUUGUCGUCAGCUCGUGCCGUGAGGUGUCGGCUUAAGUGCCAUAACGAGCGCAACCCUUAUCUUUAGUUACUAACAGGUCAUGCUGAGGACUCUAGAGAGACUGCCGUCGUAAGAUGUGAGGAAGGUGGGGAUGACGUCAAAUCAGCACGGCCCUUACGUCCGGGGCUACACACGUGUUACAAUGGGGGGUACAGAAGGCAGCUAGCGGGUGACCGUAUGCUAAUCCCAAAAUCCUCUCUCAGUUCGGAUCGAAGUCUGCAACCCGACUUCGUGAAGCUGGAUUCGCUAGUAAUCGCGCAUCAGCCACGGCGCGGUGAAUACGUUCCCGGGCCUUGUACACACCGCCCGUCAAGCCAUGGGAGCCGGGGGUACCUGAAGUACGUAACCGCAAGGAUCGUCCUAGGGUAAAACUGGUGACUGGGGCUAAGU